RNAcentral lists this ribosomal RNA (383 nucleotides) under Bacillus licheniformis. RNAcentral's name for it is "bacterial LSU rRNA". It matches the Rfam family "Bacterial large subunit ribosomal RNA", at positions 59 to 438 of the family's 2925-position model. Lineage: Bacteria; Bacillati; Bacillota; Bacilli; Caryophanales; Bacillaceae. The record is from RNAcentral.
GGACGAACACCGAUAUGCUUCGGGGAGCUGUAAGCAAGCUUUGAUCCGGAGAUUUCCGAAUGGGGACCCACUGCUCGUAAUGGAGCAGUAUCCAUAUCUGAAUUCAUAGGAUAUGAGAAGGCAGACCCGGGGAACUGAAACAUCUAAGUACCCGGAGGAAGAGAAAGCAAAUGCGAUUCCCUGAGUAGCGGCGAGCGAAACGGGAACAGCCCAAACCAAGAGGCUUGCCUCUUGGGGUUGUAGGACACUCUGUACGGAGUUGCAAAAGAACGAGGUAGAUGAAGAGGUCUGGAAAGGCCCGCCAUAGGAGGUAAGCCCUGUAGUCAAAACUUCGUUCUCUCCUGAGUGGAUCCUGAGUACGGCGGAACACGUGAAAUUCCGUC